Molecule: long non-coding RNA, 944 nt
Organism: Vespula vulgaris
Lineage: Eukaryota; Metazoa; Arthropoda; Insecta; Hymenoptera; Vespidae
Exons: 4
Source: RefSeq, a predicted model, not a curated record
GAUUAUAUUGUUUCUUAAAAAAUUUUAUUUUUCUAUGGGGAGACAGAAGAAGCGGAGACAGGAGCCGAGAAAGUUGCUCGCGCGUGGACUCGAUUGGAGACAGUGACAUUGGUUAAACAACGCCGAGAGCUGUGUGAUAUUACGCAAGCUGUAUGGACGAUCACAGAUCUACGUAGAAGGGAAAAGGAGAAAGGAAAAUCUACGCUUAGCAUUCCAAGUCGAGGAGGAGCUCAGAAGCUCCGUUAGAAUCGAGAGUGAACGCAAUUUUGACGUUAGCUCACAUACAUACAUGCAAGAACGUCCGAGGUGCGUCACUGACUGAAUUGCAUGGAUGGUUAUGGGUUUUUAAGGUGCAACGUGCGAUGGAAACGAGAGUGGAAUCGUCGAACGUGUCUCACGACUGUGGUUUCCCUCCUUUUCUCUCUUUAUCUCUCUCUCCCUCCCUCUCUCCCUCUCUCUCUCUCUCUCUCUCUCUCUCUUUUGCUCCAUCUCCAUCACUAUCACACCUUCUUUCCUUCUCACACUCUUCUACUACCAGAGACUACUCCGAUUUCGUAAUUCUUCAAUCCCACGGGUUCCAGAACUUUACGAUCUGCUAUCUAGAUCGGUGACCGAGCUCGCGUUUCUAUGUUUAUGCGGAAAUAAAAUCGAUCUGUUUCGUGUUUUUUUUCUUUUUUUGAUCCCUGGCACGAAUAAAUUUCAAGUUUCUUUCUUAAAAUUAUGGAACAUUGAUCAUUUUCGAAACUCGUGCAACGCUCCGCGUUAAAAAUUUGACGGAUAGUGCUAGUUACUCAAGUUCGAAUUUGGUGAACGAGUGAUCGCAUAAGAUGAGAAAGGAAAAUUUUCUUACCGUAAGACCAACCAACAACCUCACCGGACCUCAGAUUCUCUGUUCUCAACCAGUCUUCGAGUGGUCUGAAAUAUUCUCUUAAAGCGGAUCCGUC